AGAGUUUGAUCCUGGCUCAGGACGAACGCUGGCGGCGUGCUUAACACAUGCAAGUCGAACGAUGAAGCCCAGCUUGCUGGGUGGAUUAGUGGCGAACGGGUGAGUAACACGUGAGUAACCUGCCCUUGACUCUGGGAUAAGCGCUGGAAACGGCGUCUAAUACCGGAUACGACCUGCCCCGGCAUCGGGUGCGGGUGGAAAGUUUUUCGGUCAAGGAUGGACUCGCGGCCUAUCAGGUAGUUGGUGAGGUAAUGGCUCACCAAGCCGACGACGGGUAGCCGGCCUGAGAGGGUGACCGGCCACACUGGGACUGAGACACGGCCCAGACUCCUACGGGAGGCAGCAGUGGGGAAUAUUGCACAAUGGGCGAAAGCCUGAUGCAGCAACGCCGCGUGGGGGAUGACGGCCUUCGGGUUGUAAACCUCUUUUAGUAGGGAAGAAGGGCUUCGGCUUGACGGUACCUGCAGAAAAAGCACCGGCUAACUACGUG
RNAcentral lists this ribosomal RNA (490 nucleotides) under uncultured Rathayibacter sp. RNAcentral's name for it is "bacterial SSU rRNA". It matches the Rfam family "Bacterial small subunit ribosomal RNA", at positions 8 to 507 of the family's 1533-position model. The record is from RNAcentral. Lineage: Bacteria; Bacillati; Actinomycetota; Actinomycetes; Micrococcales; Microbacteriaceae.